CAGCCAGUGCCGCUAGAAUAGAAGGAUCGGGGGGGCGAGGGCGAGCAGCGGACCCGCCCUGAGGGCGCGCUCACUUUUCGUUUUUUUUUUUUGGUGCCUUCCUCUUCCGCAUCCGCGCAUCUGUGUGCUCUUAACUUCACGCACGCUCUGGCUCAGAAACGCGCAUGAGCGCCUACAUGCUCGCAGGUACAGACACCGGUGCAGGCGCCGAGGCAACACCCUCGCCCGUCACUGGUUCAACGCACAGGCCCCUGUGUUAUGCACCUCGUCGUGCCGCAUGCCCAUCAGCACACCGUCGUUGUGAUCCUCCUCAUACACCGACAUGGACGCACAAGCCAAGCAACACCUCCCUCUCCCCACGGGUGCCAGGGAGGCCGCUCUUUUCAGUUGCUGUAUGGAGGAGAAGGGGAGUUGGACAACGCUGCUGCUGGCUCUCUCGAGGAAGGGGAGGAAGGACACGACCGUUCAUCCCUCACCUGCUUGCUUCGGUCGGUAGUUUUCCCCGUCACCCGUUGCACCACGCACCCCGCCUCAUGCUCAUUUCUUCUUUGCGCAUCCCCUCGCCCCCUCCGGUGUUCUUCCUCACUCCCCUGCGACGAGACCGCGGUGAAACAACGGCAGCAAGUGGAGGCGGAGGCGCGGCAUCCAUGCGCAAGUGUGUGAUGGGGUAGCCGACCGAUGGAGGUCAGCAUUUCUUUCAUUUUUUUUGGCAUAUGUUUGCAUGCAGAGCCCUCGUCUCUUUGCCCCCCCCCCCCCCCCCUCCCCGUGGACAGUGUUCGAGGGUCUCUUUCUCUCCCUGUUUCCACCCUGAAGUUGCGCAGAUGUGCGGCAGCUGUUGUGAGAGAAGGAUGAGGUGGGAAGGGAGGGGGUGACAGGCCUGUUCGCCUUGGCGACUUGGAAAGAGGGGUGCGGGGACGGGUGGCCAGCCACGCGGGGCUGGAGGGGGGCGGGCGGGGGUUUGGUGGGGCGGCCAGCGUAUCCCACGGCGCGCGGUCAAAGUGUUCUGUGGUGCACCCUGCUGGAAGGAUUUCUUGAGCUGAAGUGCAAGAAGCACCCCAGCAACGUGCUGGAGGCCGUUCUGAGCUGCAGUGGCGAUGUGCCACCGGUACACCGUUUUCCGUGCUUGGACGAGCUGCUUUUCACCCCAGCCGCCCCUCUCUCCUCGAAGGCGGCUCCUGCUUUCUCCACUUCCCCUCAGUGUCGACCUAGUGUGUCUGUGUGUGCGGGCUCAGAAGCGCUCGCCUCCUUCCGCCUCCCUCCUCAUGUCUCUUUCUCUCUUGUACCGCGUUUUUCCAUUCAUGCGUCUGCUCGGGCAGACUGCCCGCUGCUCGGCGGUCCGCCAAACGUGAGCAUCUUCCUGCCUGCUGUCUCACUUCUAUCAUUGCGGCGUGCAACUGACUGGGGUGUUUGCCAGUGCGUGUGUGCGCCUGCUGAUGUAUGCAUGUGUGUGUGUAUCUGUUUAGCGUGCCAUAGCAACGCGUAGGUGAGUUUAGGAGAGUCGUCCUUCCACCCAUCCCCUGCACAUGAACGUGUACUCACGGAUGUGCACGCUAGGCGGCUUUGCCUCGCCUUCUUGUCACCCGAAUGGGGAGGGGGAGGGGGCGCACGCAGGCGACCCACUGUGCGUAUGAGAGGCGGGCUGUGCUUGGCGGGUUCGGCUUUGCGCACAAAAGGAGGAUCGACGAAGGCUGCGGCGGAGAGCCGCUGGUGCGCGUUUGCCAACGAGCUAGCCUCCGCGCAUCGUUUCUCGGUCACUGCACUGAGCCUCGAGCUGCGAGAGAGGUGUGAUGUGGGAGAUGACGACUCUGGGUUGCUAACCCCUCCGUGCCCGAAAAAGCGGCGCGAUGUGAGGCACCACUGCAUACUUCCCCACCUUCCGUUGCUGGCGUGCUUGACAUGUGCAGCGCCACGACUAGUAUGCUUCCAGCAGGGCUCGCCAUGGAAGACGCUGCAGCCCCUCCCCAGCCGCCAUUUCCUUUGCUGCUCGUCCUGGGUCCCUACGAGACCCUCAGCGGUGCGCGACGGCUGGCGGUGCCGCCUGCGUCCCUGCACGCCUCGGAAAAGGG
Molecule: unclassified non-coding RNA, 2066 nt
Filed under: Leishmania donovani
Lineage: Eukaryota; Euglenozoa; Kinetoplastea; Trypanosomatida; Trypanosomatidae
Description: gene:unknown
Source: RNAcentral